AACGCACAUUGCGCCCUGUGGUAUUCCGCAGGGCAUGCCUGUUCGAGCGUCAGUACAACACUCAAGCCCUGCUUGGUAUUGAGCCCCGCCGGUCACACGGUGGGGCCCUAAAACUAGUGGCGGUGCCAUUGGGCUCUCAGCGUAGUAAUACUUCCCGCUGUAGGGUCCCGGUGGACGCUGGCCAGCAACCCCAUACUUCUAAGUUUGACCUCGGAUCAGGUAGGGAUACCCGCUGAACUUAA
This 242-nucleotide unclassified non-coding RNA is filed under the name uncultured fungus. RNAcentral's name for it is "partial contains 5.8S ribosomal RNA, internal transcribed spacer 2, and large subunit ribosomal RNA". The stretch from base 1 to 52 matches the Rfam family "5.8S ribosomal RNA", at positions 103 to 154 of the family's 154-position model. Lineage: Eukaryota; Fungi. The record is from RNAcentral.